GCAGCUGCGUUAUUAGAGCUCCACGGCGGAUCUCGGGGCUCUUCUGCUCGCUUUUUUUCCUCUUCAGAAAUUAAAGCAGAGGAGCAUCUGAAAGUGGAAAGGUCCCCCUUCUGGUAGGAUGGAUGUAAAAGGAGGCAACAAUUUGUUCUUGAGGGGGCAAAAAAAAAAAAAAAAAAAAAGAAAAAGAAAAAGAAAAAGAAAGGAGGGGGGAAAUUCAUUGCUUGGCUUUUGCAUUGUCGGACUUUAAAAAAGUGUGUCUGCUGUUGUUGCCCGGACUCGGGAAAUCUUUUUUAUGGCAACCGCAGACCUGCCAAGUCUCUCUUACUUGGAAUCUUUAUAAAGGCAAGUUAUUUGGACUUUUUUUUUAUUUUCUCGUUUAGAGAAAGUCAUUGAUGCUGACGAAUGUCAUAAUGUGAUUCAAAAGAGACAGCUUUGAGUUCACUUUUUUAACAUUCUCAAAUUGACAUAGAUCUUUGUCCAGAAAAUAAAGCUUUCUGUUGAUUUUUUCUUUAAGCAAGAGGUAAGGAAAUAUGCACUUAAGAAUAUGUGUACAAGAAAAUAGUUUCUAAAAUAAAUUGAAAUGUCUGCAGGUCGGUGGGAAUUUUUGUUUCUUUUCGCAGUUUUGUUUUCUAACUUUUCACCUGCUCCCAUCGCAAAACAAGAAACCAUCACCUGUUUCCUUCUUUUACCUUAUCUUAAGGGAAAGGAUGUUUUAGUAUUAUUAUUGUUGUUGCUAUUUAUUGAUUGGACACGCUUGUCAAGUUAUAAAUGCCUGAGAGGGCUACCAAGUAGAGCUUAGAUUCACAAGUCUUGGUGGAAAUUAAGAGAUUCAGAAUACGGUUAAUUACACAAAACAGGCAGAAUUUUGUACAAAUACUAUUGUUCUUAAUCAGAUUUUAAAAAUUCUCCGUUCUGUAAAAUUAAGGUACAGCUAUCUAUUAAGCCACCAUGCAAAGACAUCAAAGCUUUAAGGAAGUUGUAUUUUUUCCAGUCUAACCUGUAAACUGCCUGGACCCUCAUGUGGAUAGCUGCAAAUACAGUAUGUUUUUUUUCAAUAUCUUCAUUAUAAUUAAAUGAGUUUUCAAUC
RNAcentral lists this long non-coding RNA (1087 nucleotides) under Homo sapiens (human). Its description in RNAcentral is "non-protein coding lnc-PSMA8-5:2". Lineage: Eukaryota; Metazoa; Chordata; Mammalia; Primates; Hominidae. The record is from RNAcentral.